UGCGUAGGCGGUUUGGUAAGUCAGAUGUGAAAUUCCUGGGCUCAACCGAGGAACUGUAUUUGAUACUGCCAGACUAGAGUACUGGAGAGGAGACUGGAAUUCACGGUGUAGCAGUGAAAUGCGUAGAUAUCGUGAGGAAGGCCAGUGGCGAAGGCGAGUCUCUGGACAGUAACUGACGCUGAGGCACGAAGGCCAGGGGAGCAAACG
RNAcentral lists this ribosomal RNA (207 nucleotides) under uncultured bacterium. Its description in RNAcentral is "partial 16S ribosomal RNA". It matches the Rfam family "Bacterial small subunit ribosomal RNA", at positions 568 to 774 of the family's 1533-position model. The record is from RNAcentral.